UGGGGAAUAUUGGACAAUGGGCGCAAGCCUGAUCCAGCAAUGCCGCGUGAGUGAUGAAGGCCUUAGGGUUGUAAAGCUCUUUCGCACGCGACGAUGAUGACGGUAGCGUGAGAAGAAGCCCCGGCUAACUUCGUGCCAGCAGCCGCGGUAAUACGAAGGGGGCUAGCGUUGUUCGGAAUUACUGGGCGUAAAGGGCGCGUAGGCGGCCUGUUUAGUCAGAAGUGAAAGCCCCGGGCUCAACCUGGGAAUAGCUUUUGAUACUGGCAGGCUUGAGUUCCGGAGAGGAUGGUGGAAUUCCCAGUGUAGAGGUGAAAUUCGUAGAUAUUGGGAAGAACACCGGUGGCGAAGGCGGCCAUCUGGACGGACACUGACGCUGAGGCGCGAAAGCGUGGGGAGCAAACAGGAUUAGAUACCCUGUAGUCCACGCCGUAAACGAUGAAUGCUAGACGUCGGGGUGCAUGCACUUCGGUGUCGCCGCUAACGCAUUAAGCAUUCCGCCUGGGGAGUACGGCCGCAAGGUUAAAACUCAAAUGAAUUGACGGGGUC
Molecule: ribosomal RNA, 546 nt
Filed under: uncultured bacterium
Lineage: Bacteria
Description: partial 16S ribosomal RNA
Rfam family: Bacterial small subunit ribosomal RNA
Source: RNAcentral